RNAcentral lists this long non-coding RNA (1016 nucleotides) under Canis lupus dingo (dingo). RNAcentral describes it as "lncRNA (ENSCAFG00020017670.1)". The record is from RNAcentral. Lineage: Eukaryota; Metazoa; Chordata; Mammalia; Carnivora; Canidae.
AUGGUAGCCAGGAUGGAGCGCUUGGAGGGCUGCAGGGGCCUGGAGCAUCUGCCACAGAAGAGACUAGCACGCCACACACGCCAGGGAGCGGGCCCUCUAUCGGCUGGCGGGGCGCCCCCACCGAGGGCCCCAGACUUUCCUGUGGUUGGCGUCCUAAAUGCAGAGCCUUUCAGGAGCAGAUGCACCCCCCGAGGGAGCUCCAGGGGCCAAGUCCUGAUUGGAGCUGAUGGCGGCAAAGGCCCACGGGCAUCGCUAAGUGCUCCUUGCAGGGACUUUGUUCUUCCUACGGUGCGGGUGGUCGGUCUCCAAGCAGUGCCGCGAAGGACUAGCACCAGGGCUGGGAGCAGCCCUCCAGUACCCGGAGGAGGUCUGCCAACCCUGGAAAGCUCCACGUGGACGUGGUCCCUAGUUCUCAGGCUGGGCUGGAACCAUAGGAUAAUUUGGAGGGUUCCCACUUAGGUGGUCGGUGGGGUGAAGUGGUCUUUACCGAUGCAAGGCCCUGGGUCCCUGGCUCCAAUGCCAUGACCCACAGCUGUCCUGCCAGCUCCCACCUGGACACCUUUUCCUCCAGACUCAUUCCCAGAAUGGUGGCUACAGUUUGUGCAGAUGCCAGGGCCCCUGGAACGCUCAGGGAUAGGGAUGGUCCAGGCCACCCAUGAGUAGGACAGGCUCCAGGGCUGACGUGUGGCCUUGAGACCCAGUGUGGCUGCAACCCCGGUCGUACCGCCCCGACAUGGGUGUAGACGUGCCAUGGCCAAGGGUCCAGGCACCUCCCCUCAACAGUCUGAGAGAGCAGUCCUCCCACCUCAGCAAGGGGGCCAUGCUUCCCUGGGGUUUCCCUAGACCUAGCUAAAGCCCCAUCUGUCCCGAGGCCACCCUGGCCAGACACCAUGGAUUCUGACAUUGCAACCCAUUCUGUUCCAGGAGGGAACUGGACCCACGCACUGUGUCUAUGGAAGCUAUUGGUGGAGGGAGUCUAGAAUUGGCUCUACCUAUGGACAGGUCCACACAAUCCC